AAUGAACGCUGGCGGCGUGCUUAACACAUGCAAGUCGUACGAGAACUCUUUAGCUUGCUAAAGAUAGUAAAGUGGCGUACGGGUGAGUAACGCGUGGGUAAUCUACCUCCGAAUCGGGGAUAACCCGCCGAAAGGCGAGCUAAUACCGGAUAAUAUCUAUAAAAUUUCGGUUUUAAAGAUCAAAGGUGGUCUCUACAUGUAAGCUACUGUUUGGAGAUGAGCCCGCGUACCAUUAGCUUGUUGGUAGGGUAAUGGCCUACCAAGGCUUCGAUGGUUAGCUGGUCUGAGAGGAUGAUCAGCCACACUGGAACUGACACACGGUCCAGACUCCUACGGGAGGCAGCAGUGAGGAAUUUUGCGCAAUGGGGGAAACCCUGACGCAGCAACGCCGCGUGAGUGAUGAAGGCUUUCGGGUCGUAAAGCUCUGUC
Molecule: ribosomal RNA, 429 nt
Filed under: uncultured bacterium
Lineage: Bacteria
Description: bacterial SSU rRNA
Rfam family: Bacterial small subunit ribosomal RNA
Source: RNAcentral